ACACCUAUGGUGAAGUGGUUAUCAUGCUUGCCUUCCAUGGAUUUGUCCAUAAAGCAAGCGGCACGGGUUCAAUUCCCGUUGGGUGUA
Plicaturopsis crispa FD-325 SS-3 is the source of this 87-nucleotide transfer RNA. It matches the Rfam family "tRNA". Rfam says of the family: Transfer RNA (tRNA) molecules are approximately 80 nucleotides in length. The record is from Rfam. NCBI's taxonomy places the organism in Eukaryota, Fungi, Basidiomycota, Agaricomycetes, Amylocorticiales, Amylocorticiaceae.